UACAGAGGUCUCAACCGUUGUUCGGAUUCAUUGGGCGUAAAGGGUGCGUAGGCGGGUCUUUAAGUCAGGGGUGAAAUCCUGGGGCUCAACCCCAGAACUGCCUUUGAUACUGGCGACCUCGAGUCCGGAAGAGGUGAGUGGAACUCCUAGUGUAGAGGUGGAAUUCGUAGAUAUUAGGAAGAACACCAGUGGCGAAGGCGGCUCACUGGUCCGGUACUGACGCUGAGGUGCGAAAGCGUGGGGAGCAAACAGG
This 253-nucleotide ribosomal RNA is filed under the name uncultured bacterium. RNAcentral's name for it is "partial 16S ribosomal RNA". It matches the Rfam family "Bacterial small subunit ribosomal RNA", at positions 524 to 776 of the family's 1533-position model. The record is from RNAcentral.